CGAAAAAUAACAUAUCUAAAGUACUUCCCCACACUAAUUUCCUUUCAGAAAAGAUGCUACACUUAGAAACCAGUCAGGCAAGUCUUCUGGUAGAUAAGUUGUUAACAGAAAAAAAAAACCAUCUUUGUAAAACCAUAAGCUUCUUUGUUCCAUUCAGAAUCCAAAAGACUUCUUAAACUAUAGGUUUAUAGAUAGAGAUAGUCAAAAUUAGGGAGUGAGGAGGGGGUGAGGGAAGAUGAUAUAUACCAUAUUUUCUUCCUCAAUAUGUUU
This is a non-coding RNA of Cinara cedri, 270 nucleotides long. Lineage: Eukaryota; Metazoa; Arthropoda; Insecta; Hemiptera; Aphididae. The record is from the annotation of a GenBank genome assembly.